CCGAAAGGUAAUGGCAGCGAUGCUGCUUCUCCAGGCGAUGGAAUAUGAGACCAUCAUCAGGUGGAGGAACUUCCUCAAAAGAUUGAACUUUCUAGAAGAACCAUCAACACCUAAGAACUUUAUAUAUGACGUUUGCUUAGGAAUUUACAAAAACAUGAUUGGUUUGCUCCAACAAGUUAAGAAGAUUUUCACCCAGAAAAAUCUUCUUCGUCACACUUAACACUAGCCACCCACUCCUUGUAGUGGGAAGUGGUUGGGUAAAAACAUAUAACACAUCUACUCUAUGCUUAGUUUUAAUAAAAAUAUAAUAGAAUAGAUAUGUAUGUAUGUCUCAUGGCCAGUCCCGAAAGGUAAUGGCAGCGAUGCUGCUUCCCCAGGCGAUGGAAUAUGAGACUGCCAUCAGGUGGAGGAACUUUCUGAAAGGAUUGAACUUUCUAGAAGAACCAUCAACACCCAAAGGACUUUCUAUGGGAGGUUUACUUAUGAAUUUACAAACAUGAUAGGUUUGCUCCAAAAAGUUAAGAAGAUUUUCACCUAGAAAAAUCUCCUUCGUCACGCUUAACACUAGCAACCCACUCAUUG
RNAcentral lists this long non-coding RNA (582 nucleotides) under Phoenix dactylifera (date palm). RNAcentral's name for it is "long non-coding RNA (PDAC_LNC021287)". Lineage: Eukaryota; Viridiplantae; Streptophyta; Magnoliopsida; Arecales; Arecaceae. The record is from RNAcentral.